RNAcentral lists this ribosomal RNA (484 nucleotides) under uncultured bacterium. Its description in RNAcentral is "partial 16S ribosomal RNA". It matches the Rfam family "Bacterial small subunit ribosomal RNA", at positions 30 to 507 of the family's 1533-position model. The record is from RNAcentral.
AUUGAACGCUGGCGGAAUGCUUUACACAUGCAAGUCGAGCGGCAGCACGGGGGCAACCCUGGUGGCGAGCGGCGAACGGGUGAGUAAUACAUCGGAACAUGCCCAGUCGUGGGGGAUAACACUUCGAAAGAAGUGCUAAUACCGCAUACGUCCUGAGGGAGAAAGCGGGGGAUCGCAAGACCUCGCGCGAUUGGAGUGUCCGAUGUCAGAUUAGCUAGUUGGUGGGGUAAAGGCCUACCAAGGCAACGAUCUGUAGCUGGUCUGAGAGGAUGAUCAGCCACACUGGGACUGAGACACGGCCCAGACUCCUACGGGAGGCAGCAGUGGGGAAUUUUGGACAAUGGGGGCAACCCUGAUCCAGCCAUUCCGCGUGAGUGAAGAAGGCCUUCGGGUUGUAAAGCUCUUUCGGCAGGAACGAAACGGCGAGCUCUAACAUAGCUUGCUAAUGACGGUACCUGAAGAAGAAGCACCGGCUAACUACGUG